This 253-nucleotide ribosomal RNA is filed under the name uncultured bacterium. RNAcentral describes it as "partial 16S ribosomal RNA". It matches the Rfam family "Bacterial small subunit ribosomal RNA", at positions 524 to 776 of the family's 1533-position model. The record is from RNAcentral.
UACGUAGGGGGCAAGCGUUGUCCGGAAUUAUUGGGCGUAAAGAGCUCGUAGGCGGUCUGUCGCGUCGGCUGUGAAAACCUGGGGCUUAACCCCGGGCCUGCAGCCGAUACGGGCAGACUAGAGUUCGGCAGGGGAGACUGGAAUUCCUGGUGUAGCGGUGAAAUGCGCAGAUAUCGGGAAGAACACCCGUGGCGAAGGCGGCACUCUGGGACGGUACUGACGCUGAGACGCGAAAGCGUGGGGAGCGAACAGG